RNAcentral lists this ribosomal RNA (254 nucleotides) under uncultured bacterium. RNAcentral describes it as "partial 16S ribosomal RNA". It matches the Rfam family "Bacterial small subunit ribosomal RNA", at positions 524 to 776 of the family's 1533-position model. The record is from RNAcentral.
UACGGGAGGGAGCUAGCGUUGUUCGGAAUUACUGGGCGUAAAGCGCACGUAGGCGGCUUCGCAAGUCCCAUGUGAAAGCCCACGGCUUAACCGUGGGAGUGCAUGGGAAACUGCAGAGCUUGAGUACUUAAGAGGAUCGCGGAAUUCCCGGUGUAGAGGUGAAAUUCGUAGAUAUCGGGAGGAACACCAGUGGCGAAGGCGGCGAUCUGGGAAGAUACUGACGCUGAGGUGCGAAAGCGUGGGGAGCAAACAGG